GACGAACGCUGGCGGCGUGCCUAAUACAUGCAAGUCGAACGCUUCUUUCCUCCCGAGUGCUUGCACUCAAUUGGAAAGAGGAGUGGCGGACGGGUGAGUAACACGUGGGUAACCUACCCAUCAGAGGGGGAUAACACUUGGAGACAGGUGCUAAUACCGCAUAACAGUUUAUGCUGCAUGGCAUAAGAGUGAAAGGCGCUUUCGGGUGUCGCUGAUGGAUGGACCCGCGGUGCAUUAGCUAGUUGGUGAGGUAACGGCUCACCAAGGCCACGAUGCAUAGCCGACCUGAGAGGGUGAUCGGCCACACUGGGACUGAGACACGGCCCAGACUCCUACGGGAGGCAGCAGUAGGGAAUCUUCGGCAAUGGACGAAAGUCUGACCGAGCAACGCCGCGUGAGUGAAGAAGGUUUUCGGAUCGUAAAACUCUGUUGUUAGAGAAGAACAAGGACGUUAGUAACUGAACGUCCCCUGACGGUAUCUAACCAAAAAGCCACGGCUAACUACGUGCCAGCCGCCGCGGUAA
RNAcentral lists this ribosomal RNA (524 nucleotides) under uncultured Enterococcaceae bacterium. Its description in RNAcentral is "bacterial SSU rRNA". It matches the Rfam family "Bacterial small subunit ribosomal RNA", at positions 28 to 523 of the family's 1533-position model. Lineage: Bacteria; Bacillati; Bacillota; Bacilli; Lactobacillales; Enterococcaceae. The record is from RNAcentral.